RNAcentral lists this unclassified non-coding RNA (253 nucleotides) under uncultured Rhodobacterales bacterium. Its description in RNAcentral is "contains 16S-23S intergenic spacer region". It matches the Rfam family "Bacterial small subunit ribosomal RNA", at positions 524 to 776 of the family's 1533-position model. Lineage: Bacteria; Pseudomonadati; Pseudomonadota; Alphaproteobacteria; Rhodobacterales. The record is from RNAcentral.
UACGAAGGGGGCUAGCGUUGUUCGGAAUUACUGGGCGUAACGCGCACGUAGGCGGACCAGAAAGUCAGAGGUGAAAUCCCAGGGCUCAACCUUGGAACUGCCUUUGAAACUAUUGGUCUGGGGUUCGAGAGAGGUGAGUGGAAUUCCGAGUGUAGAGGUGAAAUUCGUAGAUAUUCGGAGGAACACCAGUGGCGAAGGCGGCUCACUGGCUCGAUACUGACGCUGAGGUGCGAAAGCGUAGGUAGCGAACAGG